UAAAUAAUGGUUAGUGGCGGGACGGGUGAGUAACACGUUAGUACCUCGACCCCAAAGGUGGGGAAUAACCCGGCGAAAGUCGGGCUAAUACCGCAUAUGAUCCUUCGGGAUUAAAGCCUUCGGGCGCUUUGGGAGGGGCUUGCGUCUGAUUAGCUAGUUGGUAAGGUAACGGCUUACCAAGGCUAUGAUCAGUAGCUGGUUCGAGAGGAUGACCAGCCACACUGGGACUGAGAUACGGCCCAG
This 243-nucleotide ribosomal RNA is filed under the name uncultured bacterium. Its description in RNAcentral is "partial 16S ribosomal RNA". It matches the Rfam family "Bacterial small subunit ribosomal RNA", at positions 100 to 334 of the family's 1533-position model. The record is from RNAcentral.